UUCCCCACUUGCGCUUAUGAACUCUGUGGGCAUCUUGAACCUCACCAUUUAUUUAGUCUUAUUCAGCCCCAGUUCCAGAAAUGCCGGAAGUUGUCUGUUACUAUGGUGAUGCGCCUAAACUCUCUAUUCAACAGCGCCUGUAUGUGUUUUUGUUAAAUGAAAUAAAAUGAACGGAGAUGAUAUGGUUCUGGAAUGUCUCAAUAAACAACAGGAGAGUCUGAACAUGAGUCACCGGGGUCUAGUUGUUUUGCCACCUGGCAUUUCGAGACUCGUUACCUUGAAAAAACUGUUUCUGAACAACAAUCAGCUCAUUUUACCACCUGACGAGAUUCUGCACCUGGAAAAGCUUGAAGAACUGAUACUGGAUGGAAACCAGCUGACCGUUCUUCCUAGCAACAUUGGAUCACUGAAACACCUGACUUACCUGGGUGUAAACCACAACCCAUUAUCUGUGCUCCCAGAAGCAAUAGGUGACCUGAGAGAACUGAGGGAGCUCUGGGCUGUUGGAUGUGGUCUCAUCUCCAUACCAUUAUCUAUUGGUAAUCUCAGCAAGUUACAGAAACUUGGGCUCCAUAAUAAUAAGAUUACACACCUACCUUCAAAAUUUGGAGCCCUCAGCAGUUUGCAGUGGUUAAACUUAGCUGAUAAUAAACUUCAAGACCUCCCGGAAGAGGUUAAUCACUUACAGUCUCUGGUCUUCAUGAAUCUGGACAAGAACUGUUUCACACACAUCCCUACUGCACUAACAGACAUGGCAAAUCUGCAGAUCCUGUCUGUUAAAUUUAACAGCAUCAGAUCACUGGAGGAUUACUUAAUCCCUGCUUUCAGCAGACUUAUAAAACUUGACCUCAGAGAAAAUCCUUUAAUGGAUAGACCACCUCACUGGAAGGGAUUGGAUUUCAUAUUGCUGGGAAAAGUGUGAUUUACUGAAGAAGCAGAUUCAUAUGAGAUAUGCAGAAACUGAAAAUGAACACCCAGUUGCAUUAAAUACUUUUGUCAGUGAAACAUAUGAAACAACGAGAAGUGGAUUUAUA
Molecule: long non-coding RNA, 1034 nt
Organism: Ctenopharyngodon idella (grass carp)
Lineage: Eukaryota; Metazoa; Chordata; Actinopteri; Cypriniformes; Xenocyprididae
Exons: 4
Source: RefSeq, a predicted model, not a curated record